GCUAAUACCGCAUAAGCCCACGGUGCCGCAUGGCACAGAGGGAAAAGGAGCAAUCCGCUUUGAGAUGGCCUCGCGUCCGAUUAGCUAGUUGGUGAGGUAACGGCCCACCAAGGCAACGAUCGGUAGCCGGACUGAGAGGUUGAACGGCCACAUUGGGACUGAGACACGGCCCAGACUCCUACGGGAGGCAGCAUG
RNAcentral lists this ribosomal RNA (195 nucleotides) under uncultured bacterium. RNAcentral describes it as "partial 16S ribosomal RNA". It matches the Rfam family "Bacterial small subunit ribosomal RNA", at positions 162 to 353 of the family's 1533-position model. The record is from RNAcentral.